ACCCGCUUCGGGUGCUGUGCGUGGCACCCGAAGCAUCAGAGACAGACUGUGCCCCGGGAAGUUCUGGGCACUUCAGGGCGUU
This 82-nucleotide small RNA is filed under the name Streptomyces sp. Ncost-T10-10d. Its description in RNAcentral is "nrdJ RNA". It matches the Rfam family "nrdJ RNA". The record is from Rfam by way of RNAcentral. Lineage: Bacteria; Bacillati; Actinomycetota; Actinomycetes; Kitasatosporales; Streptomycetaceae.